This 188-nucleotide microRNA precursor is filed under the name Oryza brachyantha (malo sina). RNAcentral's name for it is "MIR812 microRNA precursor family". It matches the Rfam family "MIR812 microRNA precursor family". Lineage: Eukaryota; Viridiplantae; Streptophyta; Magnoliopsida; Poales; Poaceae. The record is from Rfam by way of RNAcentral.
AACAAAUCAACUUUUUAGUUUUUAGAUACAAUGUUUAACUCUUCGUCUUAUUCAAAAAAAUUACGAUUAAUAAUUUUAUUUUUAUUAGAUGAUAAAAUAUGAGUAGUACUUUAUGUGUGACUAAUUUUUUAAAAUUUCUUGAAAAUUUUUCAAAUAAGACGAAUGAUCAAAUGCUCGACAUAAAAACC